Molecule: ribosomal RNA, 497 nt
Filed under: uncultured bacterium
Lineage: Bacteria
Description: partial 16S ribosomal RNA
Rfam family: Bacterial small subunit ribosomal RNA
Source: RNAcentral
GAUGAACGCUGGCGGCGUGCCUAAUACAUGCAAGUCGAGCGAACGGACGAGAAGCUUGCUUCUCUGAUGUUAGCGGCGGACGGGUGAGUAACACGUGGAUAACCUACCUAUAAGACUGGGAUAACUUCGGGAAACCGGAGCUAAUACCGGAUGAUAUUUUGAACCGCAUGGUUCAAAAGUGAAAGACGGUCUUGCUGUCACUUAUAGAUGGAUCCGCGCUGCAUUAGCUAGUUGGUAAGGUAACGGCUUACCAAGGCAACGAUGCAUAGCCGACCUGAGAGGGUGAUCGGCCACACUGGAACUGAGACACGGUCCAGACUCCUACGGGAGGCAGCAGUAGGGAAUCUUCCGCAAUGGGCGAAAGCCUGGCGGAGCAACGCCGCGUGAGUGAUGAAGGUCUUCGGAUCGUAAAACUCUGUUAUUAGGGAAGAACAUAUGUGUAGGUAACUGUGCACAUCUUGACGGUACCUAAUCAGAAAGCCACGGCUAACUACGUG